The sequence is a small nucleolar RNA, 141 nucleotides long. Its record names the gene U3. It matches the Rfam family "Small nucleolar RNA U3". From Rfam's summary of the family: Small nucleolar RNAs (snoRNAs) are involved in the processing and modification of rRNA in the nucleolus. The record is from Ensembl.
AACCACGAUGACGAGUUAAGAUGCUUUCUUCUGAGCGUGAAUCGGGUGGUGAGCGACGAGCGAGAUUGUCUGCUCUCUGUCGUUGAUGAACGUUCCUGCUGUGCUUUGCAGUCUGGAAGAAGAAAGCAUGUUCAGAGUGGU